RNAcentral lists this ribosomal RNA (253 nucleotides) under uncultured bacterium. RNAcentral's name for it is "partial 16S ribosomal RNA". It matches the Rfam family "Bacterial small subunit ribosomal RNA", at positions 524 to 776 of the family's 1533-position model. The record is from RNAcentral.
UACGAAGGGGGCUAGCGUUGUUCGGAAUUACUGGGCGUAAAGCGCACGUAGGCGGGUCGUUAAGUCAGGGGUGAAAUCCCAGAGCUCAACUCUGGAACUGCCUUUGAUACUGGCGACCUAGAGUCCGGAAGAGGUUAGUGGAAUUCCCAGUGUAGAGGUGAAAUGCGUAGAGAUGGGGGAGAACACUCGUGGCGAAGGCGGCCAGCUAGACCAGUUCUGACACUGAGGCGCGACAGCGUGGGGAGCAAACAGG